Molecule: ribosomal RNA, 292 nt
Filed under: uncultured Bacteroidota bacterium
Lineage: Bacteria; Pseudomonadati; Bacteroidota
Description: uncultured Bacteroidetes bacterium partial 16S ribosomal RNA
Source: RNAcentral
GGACUACUAGGGUUUCUAAUCCUGUUCGCUACCCACGCUUUCGUGCCUCAGCGUCAGAUACAGAUUAGCAAGCUGCCUUCGCAAUCGGUGUUCUGUGUGAUCUCUAUGCAUUUCACCGCUACACCACACAUUCCGCCUGCUGCAUCUGCUCUCUAGCCUCCCAGUAUCAGCGGACACUCAGGGGUUAAGCCCCUGCAUUUCACCGCUAACUUAAAAAGCCGCCUACGCACCCUUUAAACCCAAUAAAUCCGGAUAACGCUCGGAUCCUCCGUAUUACCGCGGCGGCUGGCAC